This 523-nucleotide ribosomal RNA is filed under the name Carphurus malaccanus. Its description in RNAcentral is "partial 16S ribosomal RNA". The stretch from base 387 to 523 matches the Rfam family "Bacterial large subunit ribosomal RNA", at positions 2473 to 2610 of the family's 2925-position model. Lineage: Eukaryota; Metazoa; Arthropoda; Insecta; Coleoptera; Melyridae. The record is from RNAcentral.
CAUGGCCUUUUGAUUAUAAUUUAAGGUCUAAUCUGCCCACUGAAGUUUUAAAUGGCCGCAGUAUUUUGACUGUGCUAAGGUAGCAUAAUAAAUAGUUUUUUAAUUGAAAGCUGGUAUGAAUGAUUGAAUGAGAUAAAGGCUGUCUUAAAUUUAAUAAUUGAAUUUUAUAUUUAAGUUAAAAAGCUUAAAUAAAAUUAAAAGACGAGAAGACCCUAUAGAGUUUAAUAGUUUUAAAUUUGAAAAUUUUUUUAUAAAAUAUAUUUUAAAAUUUAAAAUUAUUUUGUUGGGGUGAUUAAAAAAUUUAAUUAACUUUUUUUUUAAUUAACAUUAAUUUAUGUAUGAAUGAUCCAUUAUUUAUAAUGAUUAAAAGAAUAAAUUACCUUAGGGAUAACAGCGUAAUUAUUUUUGAGAGUUCUUAUCAAAAAAAUAGAUUGCGACCUCGAUGUUGGAUUAAAGUUAAUUUUUGGUGUAGAAGCUAAAAUUUUAAGUCUGUUCGACUUUUAAAACUUUACAUGAUCUGAGU